AAGUGUUAUGUACAUGGACCAGUUCCUCACAAUGGAAGUGAACAUUGCAUACUACAAACAUGGACUAGAAAGAAAAACAGAAGUCCUUCACCCCCUAAAGCUUAUUAAUGUCUCCAUUUGGAGGAGAUAGAUAAAAACAAAAGUAAGUAACAGAAAUACUUAGUAUACGAGAUUAGUGGUGAGUGUUACGGAGAAAACAGCAGGAGAAGGGGUAGGGAGUGGAUGAGUGGACACGGAAGGCAUCCUGAAGAGGCCAAGGGUGGGGAGCAACCAGGGGAGGAGCACGUGGGCAGGGAGGAACGGCAGGUGUGAAGGCCCGUGGUGGGAGUGACCUCACAAUCGCAGAGCAAUGACCGGGUUCCCUGAAGCUGGCACAGUGGACAGGGGGACAGAAGUGGGAGACCAGAGAGCAUCGGUGUAGCAUUCUUGUAGAUCCAUGUUUAAGGACUCUGGCUUUCAUUUUGUCAAAAUGGGAGCUACUGGGUUGCUGGAGCAAUUGGACAAGUGGCAAUGCCUGGUGGAGCGAGGGGUGGAGACGGAGGUGCGGUGGUCGGGUUGGAGGUGAAGAUCUGGUGGACAGCAGGGGAGGUGAGAUACGAACCUGGAAGCACGGAUUGGCUGUCGGGGAAGGACUCAAGGAAGACCUGGUUUGGGGGAGAAAGUUCCGGCUUUCACCUUUGCACCCCUUAG
Fukomys damarensis (Damara mole-rat) is the source of this 690-nucleotide long non-coding RNA. RefSeq lists it as uncharacterized. Lineage: Eukaryota; Metazoa; Chordata; Mammalia; Rodentia; Bathyergidae. The transcript is spliced from 3 exons. The record is from RefSeq and is a predicted model, not a curated record.